AGUGAACGUUGGCGGCGUGGAUUAGGCAUGCAAGUCGAGCGAGAACCGUAGCAAUACGGGGACAGCGGCGAAAGGGACAGUAAUGUGUAGGUACCUACCUCCGGGUUCGGGAUAGCUGCGGGAAACUGCAGGUAAUACCGAAUAACGUCCCCGGACCAAAGGUGUGAUUCCACCUGGAGAGGGGCCUGCUUCCGAGGAGCUUGUUGGCGGGGUAACGGCCCACCAAGGCGACGAUGGGUAGAGGGUGGGAGAGCACGACCCGCGUCAUUGGGACUAAGACACUGCCGAGACACCUACGGGUGGCUGCAGUCGUGAAUCUUCGGCAAUGGGCGCAAGCCUGACCGAGGGACGCCGCGUGCGGGAUGAAGGCCUUCGGGUUGUAAACCGCUGUCGUAGAGGAGGAAAUGCAGGGGGGUUCUCCCCUCUGUUUGACCUAUUCUAGGAGGAAGUACGGGCUAAGUUCGUGCCAGCAGCCGCAGUAA
RNAcentral lists this ribosomal RNA (482 nucleotides) under uncultured bacterium. Its description in RNAcentral is "partial 16S ribosomal RNA". It matches the Rfam family "Bacterial small subunit ribosomal RNA", at positions 30 to 523 of the family's 1533-position model. The record is from RNAcentral.